UGGGGAAUAUUGGACAAUGGGCGAAAGCCUGAUCCAGCCAUGCCGCGUGUGUGAAGAAGGUCUUCGGAUUGUAAAGCACUUUAAGUUGGGAGGAAGGGCAUUAACCUAAUACGUUAGUGUUUUGACGUUACCGACAGAAUAAGCACCGGCUAACUCUUUGCCAGCAGCCGCGGUAAUACAGAGGAUGCAAGCGUUAAUCGGAAUUACUGGGCGUAAAGCGCGCGUAGGUGGUUUGUUAAGUUGGAUGUGAAAUCCCCGGGCUCAACCUGGGAACUGCAUUCAAAACUGACUGACUAGAGUAUGGUAGAGGGUGGUGGAAUUUCCUGUGUAGCGGUGAAAUGCGUAGAUAUAGGAAGGAACACCAGUGGCGAAGGCGACCACCUGGACUAAUACUGACACUGAGGUGCGAAAGCGUGGGGAGCAAACA
Molecule: ribosomal RNA, 427 nt
Filed under: uncultured bacterium
Lineage: Bacteria
Description: partial 16S ribosomal RNA
Rfam family: Bacterial small subunit ribosomal RNA
Source: RNAcentral